CAGAAGGACAUGUGAGCCACAUCUUCAUGGCCACCAUAAUCACACAUGAGAUGCAACCCACAUCUACAAAGUUCUAAAACAGGCAGGACUAAACACUGUCUUCUUGUUGAUUUAUAUAUAGGUACUGAAGACAAAGAUAAGCCAAUGAGCCAUGUACACUCAGGAUGGUGGUUUAGUCUGUGGGGGAGGGUGGGAGAGAAAUUGGAGAAGUUCCCACCACAGCUCAGCACUAAAGCAGCGGAUGUCCUCCUUCCGCUGGAUAGAUGGCACAAAGGGGGUUUAUUUUAUUAGUAUUCACUAAGCACACCUGGAUGUUUCAGGUACUCUACAGCAAAUUGCCUGAAGAUUUUUAUUGAAAGGGAUCUUUUGCCUAUCUAAGUAGUAUGGUAUGUAAAUAUUCAACCACGCUACACUUACAGGCUUUGUAUUUGGAUGUUGUAAUCUUUAGAGAUAAUGUGCAAAGAGCCACUCUGUUGAAUUUCAAUAAAUAAUAGCUCUUUCCCUCCUUUCCUUCCUGCAGAAGCCAAGAGCUCUAGCCUGCAUUUCUUCAAGUUCUUAUAGGAAAGAAAGGGUGCUUCAGUUUUCACAGAGGAGCUCCAUCGGCGGAAUCACAUCAUGGCUCUGCAAAGGGACAUUUGAAGAGCAGCCUCUCUGUCUCCCUCCUCUUCUCAUCAUUGUGGAAGUGGGCAUCACGACUAUCACAUUAGUGUCUGCCACCUUCUCAACCGUCACAGGGAAAAACGGAUCUAUCGAGGAUAGAUCAGCCUCUAUUGGUAAAUGCUCUGUGUGAUUCUGGCCCAUUCCAUUGUUAAACUUCCUCUAAAAUUCAGAAGCGCGUGCACUGUAUUCAGCCAAGGCUUUAUAUUCUGCACCAGCCGAAUUCAUUGCAAUUGUCGCAAAGUGGCUCUGUGUUGGACUGGAAGGUAAGACUCCUGGCUUGAGAGAAAGCACCUGGGAUAGAGACUUGAUCAUGUUGAGGAAGAAUUUCCCAUUUCUAGUUCAUUAUUAUUCAUUGGUAAUUGAAUUUAAAUUUUAACAAUGCCAUUUUUGCUACCAUUGAGGGGUUUUUUUUUUCCCUUUUUUUGGCCUAUGGAUGUGAAUGAUAAAAUAUUUCUAACAUCAAAUCAUCUUUGUAUUUCUAAGGUGUUGUGAAUUUGGGCGUGAAUCCUUCUUCAUUUAAUAGAAUGCCGAUCUCAAUUUGCUAGGGUUAUAUUCAGGAUUGUUCGCUUGUUUUCAUAAUUCAAAUUAAACUAUAAUUUUUUUGUAUAGAAGUAGGGCAACAAGUCAAUUCUGUUACCAAGGUCAUUAACACAUGAAUAAGGAAAUUUUCCAUAUAGUCGCUUGUUCUGAUUGUUGUACGUUUAAUGAACACAACCAAUAAAACCAUCUAUCCAGGCCCAUAUGUCCCUUUUUAAGUGUAAAUUUGGGCAUCUCUGGAAAUCAAUCCUUAGUUAUUCUAUUUUUCAAGAUUCUUCAUCUAAUGUAAAUAUUUAUGGGCAUGCUUUCCUCAAAAUUAGUCUAUUUUGAGAUGUUCAAAACUGUUUUCUUAAUUCCACAGAAAGUUUUCUAUAAUAUUUUCUUUCUCCCUUUACCAAAAGAAAUAGAUUAAUUUCUUUAUAAUGUCUAGAGUUUAUUUAAUUUUAACUGUUAAUUUUUGCCUUAAUACAUACCUUGGAGAUACUGUGGGUUCAGCUCCAGACCACAAUAAAAUAAAUAUCAGAGUAAAGCAAGCUGCACAAAUUUUUUGGUUUUUCAGUGUAGAAAAGUUAUGUUUACACUAAACCACAGUCUAUUAUGUAUGCAGAAGCAUCAUGUCUAAAAAACAUAGGUACAGAAAAUUUCUGUACAUUAAUUUAAAAAUACUUCAUUGCUAAAAAAUGCUAACCAUCAUUUGAGGCUUCAGUGAGUCAUAAUCUCUUUGCUGGUGAGGCGUCUUGCCUCAGUGUUGAUGGCUGCUGACUGAUCAGGGUGGUGGUUGCGACAGGUUAGGAUGGCUGCAGCAAUUCCUUAAAAUAAUACAAUUAGGUUUGUAGCAUCAAUUCACUCUUCUUUUCACUAAUGAUUUCCCUGUAACACGCAAUGCUGUUUGAUAGCAUUUUACCCACAGUAGAACUCUUUAAAAAGUAGUCCAUCCUCUCAAACCUACUGCUGCUUUACAACUAAGUUUAUAUAAUAUUCUAAAUCCUUUGUUGUCAUGUCAACAGCCUUUGCAUCUUUACCAGGUGCGGCUGCCAUCUCAGGAAACCACGUUCUUUGCUCCUCCAUAAGAAGCAACUCCUGAUGUGUUCAAGUUUUAUCAGAAGAUUGCAGCGAUUCCAGCACAUUUUCAGGUUCCACUUUUAAUUCUAGUUCUCUUGCUAUUUCCAACACAUUUGCAGUUACUUCCUCUACGGAAAUCUUGAAGCCCUCACAAUCACCUGUUAAUGGUAAUAUUCUGACCUCUUCUCAUGAAUCACAAAUGUUCUUAAUGGCACUUAGAAUGGUGAAUACUUUCCAAAAGCUUUUCAAUUGACUUUGUCCAGACUCAUUAAUAGAAUCACUGUCUGUGGCAGCUAUAGCCUUAAGAAAUGUAUUUCUUAAAGAAUAAGGCUUGAAGUCAAAAUAUUCCUGAUCUGUGGAUGGAUACAGAAUGGUUGUUGUGUUAGGAGAUAACAACAGUAAUCUCAUUCUGCAUCUUCAUUAGAGCUCUUGGGUGACCAAGUGCACUGUCCGUGUGCAAUAAUGUUUUGAAAGCAAUCUUUUUCUCUGAGCAGCAGGACUCAACAGUGGGCUUAAAACAUUAGUAAACUAUGUUGUAAACAGAUUGCUGGCAUCCAGACUUUAUUGUUCCAAUUAUAGAGCAUAGGCAGAGUAGAUUUAGCAUAAUUCUUCAGGGCCCUGGGAUUUCCAGAAUAGUAAAUGAUAAUUGGCUUCGACUGAAAGUCACCAGCUACAUACAUUAGCCCCUAACAUGAGUCAUUCUGUCUUUGGAGACGUUGAAGCCAGGCAUUGACUUCUUUCUAGCUAUGAAAGUCCUGGAUGGCAUCUUCUAACAUAAGACUAUGUCAUCAACAUUGAGAAUUGGUGUUGUGUGUGUGUGUGUGUGUGUGUGUCUAGCCACCUUCAUUAAUUAUGUGCGCUAGAUCUUCUGGAUAACUUGCUGUAACUUCUUCAUCAGCACUUGCUGCUUCACCUUAAAUGUUUGUGUUAUGAAGAUGAUUCCUUCCUCUGCCAGCUUCACACUUUUCUUCUGCAGCUUCCUCACCUCUCUCACCUUCAUAGAAUUGAAGAGAAUUAGGGCCUUGCUCUGCAUGAGGCUUUGACUUAAGGGCUGGUUUGAUCUUCUCUCAGACCACUCAGACUCUCCUCAUAUCAGCAAUAAGGCUGUUCUGCUUUUUUUAUCAUUUGUGUGUUCACUGGAAUACCACUUUAAUUUCCUUCAAGAACUUUUCCUUGGCAUUCACAACUUAGCUACCUGUUUGGUGCAAGAGGCUUAGCUUUCUGCCUUCCCUGGCUUUCAACAUGCCUUCCUCGUGAAGCAUAAUCAUGUCUAGCUUUUGAUUUAAAGUAAGAGAGGUGUGACUCUUCCUUUCGCUUGAUCAUUUAGAGUCCACAGUAUGGUCGUUAAUCAGCCUGACUUCAAUGUCGUUGUGUCUCAGGGAACCGAGAAGCUGAGGAGAGGGAGAGAGAUGGGGGAAUGGCAGAUUGGUGGAGAAGUUAGAAUAUACGAAGUAUUUAUCCAGUUCACCACCUUAUGAGGAGCAGUUCAUGGUGCCCCCAAACAAUACAAGAGUAAUCAAACAUUACUGACCAUAGAUCACCAUAAAAAUAUAAUAAUGAUGAGGAGUUCCCAUUGUGGCUCAGCAGAAGUGAGUCCAACAAGGAACCAUGAGGUUGCGGGUUCGAUCCCUGGCCUCUCUCAGUGGGUUAAGGAUCUGGCAUUGCCGUGAGCUGUGGGGUAGGUCGUAGACAUGGUGUUGCUGUGGCUGUGGCAUAGGCUGGCAGCCAUAGCUCCGAUUCGACCCCUAGCCUGGGAACCUCCAUGUGCCACAGGUGUGGCACUAAAAAAGCAAAAACAAACAAACAAACUAACUAACAAACACAAAAAUAUGAUAAUAAUGAAAAAGUUUGAAAUAUUGCAAGAAUUACCAAAGUAGGACACAGAGACAUGAAGUGAGAAAAUAGUAUUGGGAAAAUGUUGCCAAUAGACUAGCUUGAUGCAGCUGCAGACCUGCAAUUUAUUACAAAAAAAAAAAAAGCAUUAUCUGGGAAGUGCAAUAAAAUGAAAUAUUUCUAUAUUAUUCUUUCUUCCUGUUUUCAUCAGAUUUACGUCGCCUUUCCAUUUCUAACGUGGAUUGACUCUUUGAUCAAUUGAAUUCAUUUCCGUGAUUUCAAUUUUUUCCAUGGGAUUGAUAAUUAUGAUCACAAAAAAUGGACUAUAUAAUUCCUCCCAUUUGAAAUGUAUUAAGAUUUUCUUUGUGAUCUAAUUACAUUUCAUAAUUGUUCAAUGAACUCUUAUGAAAGGGUAUUUCAACCGUUUGUAAGGUACACAUUCCAUUUUGGUACAUUUAAUUAAACUCAGUAAUGUUAUUAUCCAGACUCUAUUUUCACUUAGUUUUGGCUGCCUGCUCUUUCAAAGAUAUAGAAAACUAUACUCACAUCUUUCUCUUCUUCUUGACUUUCAAACUCUUUCUUCUUGUGUCUAUGUCAAUGACAUGUUAGUCCUCGUAUGUGUAUUCUUGACCUUUAUGUCUACAGGAAGACUUGUAUCUUU
This 4753-nucleotide long non-coding RNA is filed under the name Sus scrofa (pig). RNAcentral's name for it is "lncRNA (ENSSSCG00060006466.1)". Lineage: Eukaryota; Metazoa; Chordata; Mammalia; Artiodactyla; Suidae. The record is from RNAcentral.